GAUGAACGCUGACAGAAUGCUUAACACAUGCAAGUCGAGCGGGGAAGGGUAGCUUGCUACCUGACCUAGCGGCGGACGGGUGAGUAAUGCUUAGGAAUCUGCCUAUUAGUGGGGGACAACAUUCCGAAAGGAAUGCUAAUACCGCAUACGCCCUACGGGGGAAAGCAGGGGAUCUUCGGACCUUGCGCUAAUAGAUGAGCCUAAGUCAGAUUAGCUAGUUGGUGGGGUAAAGGCCUACCAAGGCGACGAUCUGUAGCGGGUCUGAGAGGAUGAUCCGCCACACUGGGACUGAGACACGGCCCAGACUCCUACGGGAGGCAGCAGUGGGGAAUAUUGGACAAUGGGCGCAAGCCUGAUCCAGCCAUGCCGCGUGUGUGAAGAAGGCCUUUUGGUUGCAAAGCACUUUAAGCGAGGAGGAGGCUACUUGGAUUAAUACUCUAGGAUAGUGGACGUUACUCGCAGAAUAAGCACCGGCUAACUCUGUGCCAGCAGCCGCGGUAAUACAGAGGGUGCGAGCGUUAAUCGGAUUUACUGGGCGUAAAGCGUGCGUAGGCGGCUUUUUAAGUCGGAUGUGAAAUCCCUGAGCUUAACUUAGGAAUUGCAUUCGAUACUGGGAAGCUAGAGUAUGGGAGAGGAUGGUAGAAUUCCAGGUGUAGCGGUGAAAUGCGUAGAGAUCUGGAGGAAUACCGAUGGCGAAGGCAGCCAUCUGGCCUAAUACUGACGCUGAGGUACGAAAGCAUGGGGAGCAAACAGG
RNAcentral lists this ribosomal RNA (754 nucleotides) under uncultured Acinetobacter sp. Its description in RNAcentral is "bacterial SSU rRNA". It matches the Rfam family "Bacterial small subunit ribosomal RNA", at positions 28 to 776 of the family's 1533-position model. Lineage: Bacteria; Pseudomonadati; Pseudomonadota; Gammaproteobacteria; Moraxellales; Moraxellaceae. The record is from RNAcentral.